Molecule: long non-coding RNA, 1079 nt
Filed under: Homo sapiens (human)
Lineage: Eukaryota; Metazoa; Chordata; Mammalia; Primates; Hominidae
Description: HSALNT0193495
Source: RNAcentral
CACCAGUAAGGUUUUCUGAAGCUUUCUUUCCACCAGGGAAGACUGCAAAGGCCAGAGAUCAUUUUCACAACUAAAGGUCGUCAUCUGGGCAAAUGAACCACUCUGACUUGGAGAUUAGGGGCUCAGACAGCCGUGGAUGAGAGUCCAGCUCUACUACUUAUUAGCCUUGAUUAGUUGACUGUCACUGCCGAGACCAGCUUCUGAGUAAUUUCAGCCCAGGCAUCAGACUAGUGAGGGAAGGAGCUUCCAGGUGAUACCACCUCCCAGCCAUACUGUGAGAGGGAUGGGAAAGACUGGUGCUUGGGGUGGCCAUCUGACCCCUGAUGGACAGGAGACCAGGACAAGCCCACUGGAUGAGCCGGAGGGGUCCAGGAGGAGGGAGUUGAGAGCUCCUGCUAGGGUUGACACAUUCUGGUAAGGAGUUCAUCUGCUGUCCACCAGGUAGGUGGUGUGCAAAUACAACUAAGCAUUCAUGUUUAAGGUUUUUUUUUAAUUUUUUAUUUUUCGAGGCAGAGUCUCCAUUGCCCAGGCUGGAGUGCAAUGGCGCCAUCUCGGCUCACUACAACCCCUGCCUCCCAGAUUAAAGUGCUUAUCCUCCCUCAGCCUCCUGAGUAGCUGGAAUUACAGUCGUGCCUCCACGCCCAGCUAAUUUUUGUAUUUUUAGUAGAGACGGGGUUUCACCAUGUUGGCCAGGCUGGUCUCAAACUCCUGACCUCAGGUGAUUCACCCGCCUUGGCCUCCCAAAGUGCUGGGAUUACAGGCAUGAACCACUGCGCCCGGACUUAUGUUUAAGGUUAUUUAAAAAGCAAAGCAAAAUCCUAACCAUGUUGAAUUUUUGAAUCUGCAGCAGAUUCAAAUUAAUGAAUUUAAAUCAUAUAUCAGGUAAAAUACUACCUUGACAUAUUUUGUGAUCAUACUGAGAGAAAAUUAAUAUAAAGCUAAUUCAAAAUUUUUUAAUUUGUAAAUCAAAAGAUUAAACCUUGUUAAAAUUUACAAAGAAUAUGCCACUAUAAGAAGAAGUAGCUCAACUUUAUUUCAGUAAAAUCACCAACAAAACAAUAAAAAGCCAAAACUAAAAA